UACGUAGGGGGCAAGCGUUAUCCGGAUUUACUGGGUGUAAAGGGAGCGUAGGCCGGUCUUUAAGCGUGCCGUGAAAUUUUGUGGCCCAACCAUGAGAGUGCGGCGCGAACUGGAGACCUUGAGUGCGCGGAAGGCAGGCGGAAUUCGUGGUGUAGCGGUGAAAUGCUUAGAUAUCACGAAGAACCCCGAUUGCGAAGGCAGCAUACCGGCGCCCGACUGACGCUGAGGCACGAAAGCGUGGGUAUCGAACAGG
Molecule: ribosomal RNA, 253 nt
Filed under: uncultured Prevotella sp.
Lineage: Bacteria; Pseudomonadati; Bacteroidota; Bacteroidia; Bacteroidales; Prevotellaceae
Description: partial 16S ribosomal RNA
Rfam family: Bacterial small subunit ribosomal RNA
Source: RNAcentral